Molecule: long non-coding RNA, 1870 nt
Organism: Culex pipiens pallens (northern house mosquito)
Lineage: Eukaryota; Metazoa; Arthropoda; Insecta; Diptera; Culicidae
Exons: 3
Source: RefSeq, a predicted model, not a curated record
GAAUCAGCAUUACACUUUUUGCAGUUCGAUUUUACACCACCGACUAGUUUCAACCCUCGAACUGAAAAAAGUGUAAAAGGCGAACUGCAAAAAGUGUAAAAGUUACAUCUUUUCCAGUUCAGGGUUCCGAACUGCAAAAAGUGUAACUUUUGGACUUAGAAAAAUUUUGAAGAAUUUGCGGAAUCAUUUCACCCGCUGUCAAAUCGGGACUUAGUGAAAUUUGGAUGCUGGUAGCAAGAGGUGUUGCAGGUAAGUUCUGCUCGGAUUUGUGAACAGCUGCCGGAAAAGGCAAGAUUCCGGUUCUCUCAAACUGGAUAACCAACAAUACCAGGCCAGCGAAUAAUGUUGUGGCCGAAUUCGGUUGAAUUCUUGGUUCUCCAGUCUGGGGGAAGCGAAAUUCUACCUUCUGGUAGGAAACGGCUAAAAUCUGACGGCUGCGGUUGGAAAAGGCAAGACUCCGGUUCCUUCAGACGGGGAAACCAAGAAUCACGGAGAGGUGAAUAUAUUUGUGGCUGGAUUCUAUUGAUUUUUUGGCUCUUCGGUCUGGGGGAGGCAAAUUUUGACCUUCCGGCCGGAAUUCAAGGAAAUUUAUCGUCAGCGCCCGGAAAAAAACAAGGUUCCGGUUCCCCCAGACCGGAUAUCCAAGAUCACGAUUGUAUAUUUGGUUCUUCGUUCUGGGGUAGCAAGUUUUUACCUUCCGGCCGCAAAUUUUUCGUCAGCGCCCGGAAAAAAACAAGAUUCCAGUUCCCCAAACCGGAUAUCCAAAAAUAACGGGCGGGUAGUUAAUUUUAUGGUAGGAUUCGAUUGAUUUUAUGGUUCAUGGGUCUGGGGGAACCAAAUUUGCCUUAAUAUCGACCGGAAGGCAGAAGUUUGCUUUCCCCAGACCGAAGACCCAAGAAAUCAGUUGAAUCCGGCCACACAAUUAUCUACCUCUCCGUGAUUCUUGGUUUUCCAGUCUGGGGGAACCGGAAUCUUGCUUUAACCACGAAUCACGGGAGGUGAAUAAUUUUGUGGCCGGAUUCAACUGACUUCUUGGUUUUUCGGUCUGGGAGAAGAGAAAUUGUACCACUCGGGGGGGAAGUGCAAUGUUACCUUCUGUCCGGAUUUUUGUCAAAUCUGACGGCCACGACUAUUGUUGAAAAAUUGAAAGUUUUCUACAGCUAAAAUUACUUUUCACAGAUUAGAUACGCACGCGAACCAACAGCGAACAGAACGUGUUCCCGGAUUUCGCCUACCGGAAGUAUCCGUGCGCCCAGACCUGGAGAAGAAAACAUUUGAGAAUCGAGGACAAGCAACUUGGAAAGUCCGGAGAGGAGGAUCAAAACCAGCUCCCGGAAAGCCGCUCGCGGCAUUAGAUCUGGCUCCGUAAGCCGCUGCUGAUCCGACAAUCGUGCCAGCUCGGGAAUGCCCGAGAAGCUGCUGGUGGAUCUGGACGGCAUCGACUACAACAAGGGCAACCUUUCUGCGGCGUAAGUCGCUUCACUCUGGUCAAGCUUCAAUAAUUCAUAUCCAUUUUAAAACAAAGCCAACGUGACCGCUUAGGUCGGCGACGCGGUGAUCUUUUGCAUCGAGCACGCCGACGCGGCCGAGGAGAUUUGCGAGUGGUUCGCCGAGUCGCUGUCGAACAACGAAAACCAUGCUCAAGCGGAAGAUCGCCCGCAUCUACCUGAUCUCGGACACUGCACAGCUGCAGUGGCAAGGUAUCGAACGUGAGCUUCUUCCGGAAGGCCGUGGAGGAGAAUCUGCUGGGCAUCUUCAAGAAUCUCUUCGCCUACCACAUGCAGUUGGACAGCCGUCUCAAAGCCGAGGGCUUCAAGUCGCGCGUGAUGAACGUGUUCAAAGCGUGGGAGGAGUGGGCUACCCGAAGGAC